This 466-nucleotide ribosomal RNA is filed under the name uncultured bacterium. RNAcentral describes it as "partial 16S ribosomal RNA". It matches the Rfam family "Bacterial small subunit ribosomal RNA", at positions 28 to 507 of the family's 1533-position model. The record is from RNAcentral.
GAUGAACGCUGGCGGCGUGCUUAACACAUGCAAGUCGAACGGAAAGGCUCCUGCUUGCAGGGAUACUCGAGUGGCGAACGGGUGAGUAACACGUGGGUGAUAUGCCCUGCACUUCGGGAUAAGCCUGGGAAACUGGGUCGAAUACAGGACAGGACGACGGUUUGCAUGCGAUUGUGGAUAGAUUUUUCGGUGUGGGAUGAGCUCGCGGCCUAUCAGCUUGUUGGUGGGGUUAUGGCCUACCAAGGCGUAGACGGGUAGCCGGCCUGAGAGGGUGUACGGCCACAUUGGGCCUCAGAUACGGGCCAGACUCAUUCGGGAGGCAGCAGCGAGGAAUAUUGCGCGAUGGGCGCAGGCCUGAUGCAGCGUCGCCGCGUGGGAGAUGACGGCCUUCGGGUUGUAAACUCCUUGCGCUAGGGACGAAGCGCAAGUGACGGUACCUGGAGAAGAAGCGCCGGCUAACUACGUG